Long non-coding RNA from Brassica rapa (field mustard), 4213 nucleotides. RefSeq lists it as uncharacterized. NCBI's taxonomy places the organism in Eukaryota, Viridiplantae, Streptophyta, Magnoliopsida, Brassicales, Brassicaceae. The record is from RefSeq and is a predicted model, not a curated record.
CUCUAUUCACAGGUUAGUGUUCAAAUCUAAUAUAUUAAAUUGUUAUAGAAUAUGAGUGCAGGCUCGAAAUAUAAAUGUUUGUCUAGUAUAUAUUCACCAGUUCGGUCUAAAUAUAAUCUAAUUAUAGAACAACAAAACAAAUUACUUAUUUCAUUAAACUACGCUUUUGAGGUUUAGUUACGUAAGAGUAUAAUUAAAAAAAAAUAUAAUACUUUAGCAUUCUAAUAUAUGUAACCUAUGUAUAAACUAGGAACUGGUUGAUUUAUUAAAUGAUAAACCAAAACUUAUAAUAAAUAUUUCAGAUCUCUUAUUCUUACAAUUAUAAUAGCUAGAAAGGAUAUUAAGAAGAAACAAUUAUUAGACGAAUGAUCAAAUCUCCCAUUCUUCGAACAAACUCAAAAUGAGGUAAUUGAAACUUGUCAUGAUAUUUCAUACAAAAAUUUUUAGGAAUAAAAAUAAAGACUAAACUAUAUAUAGUGCUUGCAAUAUUAAAAAUCACUUCGAUUUGAAAAAGUGUAUUUAUUGGAUUGUCAGAAUAAAAUAAAAUAUUAGAAACCACCUACUUAAAAAAUAAUUUGUAUACAUAAAAGUAUAUACAUUAGAGUACACACAUAAAUCAAAACCAACACUUUUUGUUAAUUUACAAUCAGUUUUUGGUAAAUAAAUUGAAGCAAUCGUUUUAUUUACUUUAUAUGGUAUAUAAUUAAACUUUAAUGAUAUUGACAUAUAUAUAGCAUAUAUUUAAUAUAAAUAUUUAUUAUUGGCACUUCCUACUCAUAUGGUUUUAUUAAAAUUUGUAUAUUUGCUGUAACAAAAAUUGAAAUCGUUAAUCACAAAUUUUUAAUGUGAUAUUUUUCAAUACAAAUUUCAAAAUUAAAAUAUUAAGAUCUCAAUAAUUUUUCACUACAAAUUUUCGAAUUAACAUUUUUUUAUAUUUUUAUAUAGUAUAUAAUUUAAUUUAAAUGAUAUUAAUAUUAAUAAUAUGAAUUCUAUUAAUGAGACUUCAGAUUCAUACAAAUUUAUGAUAAUUUGUAUCUUGUUUGAACAAAAAAGUUAAACUAUUGAUCACAAAAUUUUCAAUGUGAGAAUUUUACCAUUUUUAGUAAUUUAUAGUCGCUUUACAAAAUUCAAAAUAUAAUGUAUAAGAAAAAAUCUAAUUUUUAUUAUAUGUUUAAUGUGAUUGUUUAAUUUUUUAAUAAUAUAAAAUUAAACACAAAAUAGAGCGGAUAGAAAAAUUGUUAUCAAAUAUGUAUUAUUCAUAAUUAUUAAUUAUCAUAUAUAUGUUAAUCAUAUUAGGUAAUUUUGUAGCUUUUAUCUAAGUAAAGAAAUAAUAUUAUUUUGUACACUACUAAUCAGUUUGAUAUUUAGUUUAAUAAAAAGUAAAAUAUAUAUUUAUAUGAACUAACUUAUUUUUUUUUGGAAUUUUAAGAAUUAUUUUCUUGAUAACAUGUGAAUACAAAAAUACGUUGUAAUGUUCCAAAAUUAAUAUAUAGGGAAUGAUUAAAGAUUUAUAAAGUGAAAAGAAGGAAACGAUGUCGGCGAAAUUACUGUAUAUUCCGGAAACCGAGCCAGGGGAAUAAAAACCAGCGUAAAACAAAUCUUGAACAAGCAGGAAUAAUCAACAGACAUAUGGUAAAAGGUCCACGACAGCAGAGAAGUGCCAAAACAAAAACACAUUUUCUGAAUAGAAGAACGAAACUCUUCCUAUUGAUGACAUUUGUAUAGAAAAUAAAAUUCCAAAACUAGAAGGAAGUAACCACGACAAGAAAAUCCAAGUGACUGUCUUCACCGUUGCUGCAACUAAGGCCAUAAAGACCAAUUCCCAAAUUCUAAACGGAACAUGACAGAGGAAUUUGUAACGUCCCGGUUUUUGUUAACCGGAGUUGGUUUAAGAGGAGCUCCGCCAUUGUUGACGCAUCACCACCGUUGGGUUGAUCAGUGCCGAGUCUAGCCACCGUAUCUCUUCGCUAUCGUUCAUGGCUUUCCAUCUCUAUGAAUCAAUCUCCACCGAAGAACACAGAUGUAAUCACCAUAUCAAAGCCUUGUGAUAUUGGUGCUGGUUGGCUACGUUACGAGACGGAGAGAAAACGUGACCAUAAGCCGGCGCCACCGUCUCAUCAUCAGCAACCACCGUCAACCACUGAUUCGCGCCGCCAUGAGCCGAGAGUCACCGGAGGUACAUCCCAUGUCUCCGGAGAUCCAUGUUGCCAUUGUUCAAGUAGCCGUCAUCACCGAUAGUCAACUCCAUUGUGAUCCCCAUCCAAGACGGAAGGCAUAAUUAUACUAAGACGUUUCCUUGUUUCACAAGUCAACCUGUUUUGGUUCUUGGUUGAUUUCUUUAUCUCCGAGCUCGGCUAAGGUGAUGACUAUUCUCGUUAUUUCAUGUAUGCGGCCUAGGACUUUGAAUAAAUAUAGUUUAGUUCUAAUAUAUUUCGUCUCUGUGAAUUUAGUCGAUCUGGUGUCUGUUUGGAGUCUGAUUGAUAUUUAUUUAGGUUUUUUACUUAAACCGAAUAUAUAAGUUUAGAUGGUUCAAUUUUUAUUGUUUCAUUUAAAACUAGUGAAUAAUAGUAGUUGUUUAUUAAGAGUUAUGAGAAUGUUAGUCGGAUACAGAGAGACAUACUUCUAUAGCUAGAGUGUAUGUGUUGUGGUUUGUUACGAGGCAGCUUGAGUCGACCUGUUGAUAUUGAUAAGCGUCUCCGGGCGGUGUGUAUGGGCACUAGUCCCAUACAAGAAUCCUCUUAUAGGAGGAGACCUCUAUUUGGGGGUGUGCGACCCUGUAACUAGGGAUCUUGUUUGUUUUUUGGGUACUAAAAGUGUCGUGUUUGUCAUAUGUUAGAAUUAAAUUAUAUUUAUUCGGAGUGUUAUGCAUGUACUUCGGGUUUAACAUCUCAUAUCUUCUAGUCAUAUUUCUUUCUUUACCAUUUGAGGUGAGACAGACGAGUACAUGAUAUUUGGAUGGAUUGGUGCUACUGAGCUUUUUAUUCAGAUUUUUAUUUGGUUUAUGGUGAGUGGAGUUGUGUAUAUGGGCUAUUGUGUUAUGAAAUAUUUUUGGUGACACACUGUUCUCUAGAUAAGAGGUGAGGGGUCUCACAGAAUUACACCAUGAAUGUCAACAUGAAGGCAAAAAUAAGGUGCAGACAAAUUGGAUAUUGGAAAAAGAGAACAGAAAUAUGACUAGAACCCAAACACUACUCAAGUCUUGCAUAGCAAAGAACAGAAAUAUGGCAAUAGUUGAAGAAAUAUUAGAAAUGUUGUCGUCGAAAUAACUAUAUUUCACUAAGCAGCUAUCCACACCGUUAAAAGAUCCACGAUUUCAAAUUUGGUUGUAGAUGCACAACCGGCCCAACUCUCCAAACCAGAACUGAAACAACUAUGAUACUGGAAAUAAAAACUCCCCUGCCAACCAAACACCACAAUAAGGAGCACACCAACAAGACCAUAAAGAAAAAUGUACCCGCCUAGAAACACACGAAAACUCUAGUUCCAUACAAAAUUCAACCAUUUGAAGGUCCUCCUGGUAACAUGAAAAGCACUGCUGGACCACGUGCAAACGGAUUUCGUCGCGAUCAACAAAAAGAAUCACCACUAGAUUUGACUGGCCAGCAUCAACGGAGCUGCUUGUCGUGACUGGACUAACAUGACAUAACUGAAACUUGUAACUUCCCGGGGAGAUACAAACUUCGAGGACCAAAAAAAGUACUCAGAGAAUCUAUAUGUAGGAUGAAAGAAACUAGGAAUCCUCCUGCGCGGGCAAGGAGUGCCAGCCACAGGAAGGACUACAAUCAGAAAACGAAGGGCUUUGCGGCACACAGGAAGGUACAGAAAAAUUGGUCAUAAUUUAGUACAACCUCGGCUGAGAAAAAAAAUUAAUUUGGCAUAAAGAAAUAAUUUUGACUCCCUUCCUAGGUUGCACGGAAGCUUCAUCGGAUGUUCGCUUUCCUCGUUGGAACCGGAAUCAGAAUCAGAACCUUGUAAAAGCUUACAGAAUCUCGCUUUCAGAAUUCUUCUAAAAUAUUCUAUUUAAAGAUAGCUUACGAUUUUUGGAAUCAUGCUUCCGUUUUAAAAAAAAACAUACAAUGUCACAAAUAAAUAUAAAAUAUAAAAUUUAAUAGUAAUGAAAUACAGAGAAUAAAUAUACAAAUAUUAAAACUAAUACUAUAUCUUUAUGCAUUGAAGUCUGGUAAGAGCAACAAGUUUAAAAAUAAAAUAAAAA